UGGGUCUUGCGCAAUGGACAUCUGCGAACCGUGUCAGGGUGGGAACACAGCAGCACUAAGCGGAAUCGUACAUGUGCCGCAAGGGUGCCUG
This 91-nucleotide signal recognition particle RNA is filed under the name human gut metagenome. RNAcentral's name for it is "Bacterial small signal recognition particle RNA". It matches the Rfam family "Bacterial small signal recognition particle RNA". From Rfam's summary of the family: The signal recognition particle (SRP) is a universally conserved ribonucleoprotein involved in the co-translational targeting of proteins to membranes. Archaeal SRP consists of a 7S RNA and homologues of the eukaryotic SRP19 and SRP54 proteins. The record is from RNAcentral.